RNAcentral lists this long non-coding RNA (1199 nucleotides) under Marmota monax (woodchuck). The record is from RNAcentral. Lineage: Eukaryota; Metazoa; Chordata; Mammalia; Rodentia; Sciuridae.
GCUGGGAGGGAGAGAUACCCAAGACUGCCAGGCUGGAGCCGGGCAGCCGUCCCAGCUGUGCGUGCAACUGUGGCUUGGCUGGAUUUAUGAGCCAAAGGUCGCAGUAGCCCUAUUUUUGGAAUAGCAGGAAAAAACAGCUGCUUCAAAGUCUCAAAAUGGUAACUUUCCACCAGAGUGGCCUGGUCGCUAGAUCUCCCUGAAGACUCACUAAAAGUACCGCCUCAAACCUCCGCGAGGCCACCACCUUCUCGCCGCUUGGAAACCAGAACCCCGUCCAGACACAGCUGAUGGGCGGCCGCAGCCUUCACUCCAUCUCCCUCCCAGCUGCUGCUCAGAAGGACAGGCCCCGAGAAGCGCCCGGGAAGCUCUGAGCUCCUGCCUGGGGGCCAGGGUCCCCGCAGGAAAGGCAAGGAGCCCCUCCCUCGCUCUGUUCCGAGUGUCCAGUGGGAAGGUCUGGAGCUCAGUGUGGGGUCACUGCCAAAAACAACUCCCAGAGACGCACCAGGCCAUCCUCGGGGACCAGACUUCCCCUGGGGGAGAGGAGCCCCUGGUGGCCAGCUCACUCGCCCUGCGAGCACAGGCCCAGCCGCCCGAGGUUGGACGUGACCUGUGCUUCUGCUUCAGAAAUGCCUGUGGCUCCGACUCCGCUCCAGUCGGGAUGUUUACUAUUUAACUAAUAUUGGUGUCUUAAACUGCCAUUUUGGCCACUUCAGCUCCCGGAACAUACCCGAGAGAAUUUUGCGGGGCGGUUUGGGAAAGAAUGCCUGCUUGCUGUCCGUCUGCUGCAAACGGCAGCUCGUCUCUAAAACAGCGACUGGCCCACAGAAGGUGCUCGGCACCAGUGACCACCCGGCCAUUGGAAGAGGGACAAGCCCUCAGGUCACUCACAGGGGGAGGGGGCCACGGAACAGUUGCCGUCGGAGGUGAGGCUGGGAGACAUGGCACCAGAUUCCAGCAGCUCCCCUGCCCGGAUGGUUCAACUGAGGAGCAAGGGCCACAGGGAGCCCUGAGCCCUAGGCUGAGCCCUGGUCCCAGGUCUGAGCCCUGAUCCCAGGUUGAAAGCAGCCUUGGGGGCUGGGGCUGGGGCUCAGUGGCAGACCACUUGCCUGGCACAUGUGAGGCACUGGGUUCAGUCCUCAGCACCCCAUAAAAAUAAAUAAAAGUAUUGAAAGCAGCCUUGGUUCUACCCCGGAGUCUGG